Molecule: ribosomal RNA, 591 nt
Filed under: Pisania striata
Lineage: Eukaryota; Metazoa; Mollusca; Gastropoda; Neogastropoda; Buccinidae
Description: partial 12S ribosomal RNA
Rfam family: Microsporidia small subunit ribosomal RNA
Source: RNAcentral
AAAGACAGUUAGGCUUAUAAUAAUAUUUAGUUUAUUGAUCGUUUAUAUAGGAGUAAAAUCUGAAUAUAAAUAGUUAAUCUAAGGAAAACUAUUUGCUGAAGCUGUGAUAGUUUUGAGGGAAACUGGGAUUAGAUACCCCAUUAUUCUUAACUGUAAAUUUAAUUAAAUUUACCAGAGUACUACGAACUCAUAUAAAUUUAAAACUCAAAGGGCUUGGCGGUGUUUUAGACCUCUUAGGGGAACCUGUCUCAUAAUCGACAAUCCACGUUAUACCUAACCUUAUUUUGUACUCAGUUUGUAUACCGUCGUCGUCAGGUAACUUUUAAAAAAUGAAGAGUUAGCAACAAAAUUUUUUAAUUUAAACGUCAGAUCAAGGUGCAGCUAAUGAAAAGGAGAGGAUGGGUUACAAUUAUUUAAUUAUAAGAAUGGAAAACUACAUGAAAGUGUAAUUAGAAGGAGGACUUAAAAGUAAAAUUAAUUAUAUAGAUAAUUUGAAUACGGCUCUGAAACGUGCACACACCGCCCGUCGCUCUCGUUGAAAAAGGAGAUAAGUCGUAACAUAGCAGGGGUAAUGGAAAUUGUCCCUAGAUG